Molecule: ribosomal RNA, 502 nt
Filed under: uncultured bacterium
Lineage: Bacteria
Description: partial 16S ribosomal RNA
Rfam family: Bacterial small subunit ribosomal RNA
Source: RNAcentral
AUUGAACGCUGGCGGAAUGCUUUACACAUGCAAGUCGAACGGCAGCACAGGUGCUUGCACCUGGUGGCGAGUGGCGAACGGGUGAGUAGUACAUCGGAACGUACCCAGUCGUGGGGGAUAACGUAGCGAAAGUUACGCUAAUACCGCAUACGUCCUGAGGGAGAAAGCGGGGGACCGUAAGGCCUCGCGCGAUUGGAGCGGCCGAUGGCGGAUUAGCUAGUUGGUGGGGUAAAGGCCUACCAAGGCGACGAUCCGUAGCGGGUCUGAGAGGACGGCCCGCCACACUGGAACUGAGACACGGUCCAGACGCCUACGGGAGGCAGCAGUGGGGAAUUUUGGACAAUGGGCGAAAGCCUGAUCCAGCCAUUCCGCGUGAGUGAAGAAGGCCUUCGGGUUGUAAAGCUCUUUCGGCAGGGAAGAAACGGCUUGGGAUAAUACCCCGGGCUAAUGACGGUACCUGAAGAAGAAGCACCGGCUAACUACGUGCCAGCAGCCGCGGUAA